This 477-nucleotide unclassified non-coding RNA is filed under the name Hevea brasiliensis (rubber tree). The record is from RNAcentral. Lineage: Eukaryota; Viridiplantae; Streptophyta; Magnoliopsida; Malpighiales; Euphorbiaceae.
GAGACUUUGUUUUCUUUUGGGCCAUUCUAACAAAAUCCCAGAAAUAGAGCUCGAGUCUUCUCUUUCGCGCUAUAGUAUAGUCUUUAUUGGAUCUCACUUAUCAAAAUUUAACAGAACUUUUGUCUUUGUUAGCUGUUAUUCUGUCUUCUUUGUUGUUGUUCCUUUCGAAAAUAGGCUAAAUUUUCAUCUGGGUAGUCUUUGAUUUCAGUAUGAAGCCUUUCAGCCUUUCUCUGCUUCUGUCUUGAACACAUUUUUUACGGUGCAAAAAUAUUGACUAAUGCCCAUUUGGGUAUAUGCCAUUUGUGGAAAUGGUUUUUGGGUACUUUGUUUUUGUGCUGCUACUUUGAGGCUUUGAGCUAUCUUCUGAUGUUUUUGUUAUUGGGUUUAUAAGGGUUUUAAAAAUUGAGGCUUGUUUCAUCGAGCUAGGAUGAGUAUGGAGAAGAUUGAGGAGGUAAACAAGGCAGCUGUUGAGAGCUG